RNAcentral lists this ribosomal RNA (226 nucleotides) under uncultured bacterium. RNAcentral's name for it is "partial 16S ribosomal RNA". It matches the Rfam family "Bacterial small subunit ribosomal RNA", at positions 15 to 236 of the family's 1533-position model. The record is from RNAcentral.
GAUCCUGGCUCAGGAUGAACGCUGGCGGCGUGCCUAACACAUGCAAGUCGAACGAAGCACUGAGACUUCGGUCUUUGUGCUUAGUGGCGGACGGGUGAGUAACGCGUGAGCAAUCUGCCUUUCAGAGGGGGAUAACGAUUGGAAACGAUCGCUAAUACCGCAUAACGUAUUCGGACGGCAUCAUCUGAAUACCAAAGGAGCAAUCCGCUGAAAGAUGAGCUCGCGU